CACAGCCAAGUACAGUGUGUGGUCAUUUCUCCCUCGAUUUUUGUACCUGCAGUUUACCAAAGCUGCCAGUGCUUUCUUCUUGUUCAUUGCUAUAUUGCAGUAAAUUCCAGGUAUGUCCCCAACAGGAAAAUAUAUAACUCUCUUACCUUUGAUGAUUUUUCUUACGAUUUCAGGCAUUGAAGAGGUUAUAGAAGAUUAAAAACCACAUAUGGCAGACAAAAUAGUUAAAAAACACAAAAGCACUCCAUUGCCAAAUGGAAGUGGUAUAUACACAAUUGGGCCAAUAAUGGAAUUGCUGGGUUGAAUGGUAGUUUUAUUUUUAGUUCUUUGAUAAAUCUCCAUAAAUAUUUCCUCAACCUCAAUUGAUGUGUUAUAUAGCAACAGCUAAUCUGGAUAGAGAGACAGAUCUAAAGAUAUGGCUUUGCCAGAUACAAGCUGAAGUGCUACCAGAAAACCAGUUGUUAAGUCUAUCUGGAAAAAUAGACUGUGAAGCACCUCAUCUUCAUUUCAAUAGCUUCGCUGGAACCUGGAGCCUAAGGGGUAAAAUCCCUGUUCCAAUUGGGCCUGAUCAGGUCUUGUUUAGAGGUACACAGCUUGGAAAUACUCAGUGGAUCAUUGGUGUAGCUGUUUAGACUGGAUUUGAAAUGAAACUCAUGCACUCACUCACAUGUACCAUUUCUCUCUAUUGCUAUCUUUCUUUUGAUCACCCCUCAGGACAUCUUGUUUUUGUGUGUGUUGUUUUUUUGUUGUUGUUUUUUGUUUUUUCAUCUGAAGAGAAUCUCAACUAAGUCUUGUUUUGGACUAGGAAUUUCCUGAAUCUAAAGUGCUGGGAUUACAGGCGUGAGCAACCAUGCCUGGUCUAUCAUUUUGUACCAGAACCUCAUCCCUAUGCUGGUCACUAUGGAAAUUGUGAAAUAUAUUCAGGCCCAGUUUAUAAACUGAGAUGAAGAUAUGCAUUAUAAAAUCAAUAAUAUCUGUGCCAUGGCCAGAACAUUCAAUCUCAAUGAAGAACUUGGGCAGGUACAGUAUCAAUUUUCUAAUAAAACGGGAACCCUCACUUGCAAUAUUAUGACAUAUAAGAAGUGUAUCAUUGCAGGUGUAAUUUACAGGUACCAGAGUAUUGACAUAUAAUACCAGAGUUCUCUCUUGUUCAGAUCUCAAAUGUCAGACACCUUCUUCCAUCCCAGCAUCCUGUGAAUUUAACGACCCCAAGUUAUUGGAGAACUUUGAGAAUGGCCAUCCCACAAAAGACUAUAUAACAGAAUUUCUUAUCCUGUUAUCUGUGUGCCACUCUGUUAUUCCCAAGAGAGAUGGAAAUAAUAUAAUCCACCAGGCUUCCUCCCCCAGACAAUGAAGCAGCUUUAGCGAAAGGAGCAAAAAAACUUGGCUUUGUUUUCACUACCAGAACACCAUCCUCUGUCACCAUAGACACU
This 1433-nucleotide long non-coding RNA is filed under the name Homo sapiens (human). Its description in RNAcentral is "non-protein coding lnc-RNF6-4:4". Lineage: Eukaryota; Metazoa; Chordata; Mammalia; Primates; Hominidae. The record is from RNAcentral.